CCUACGGGAGGCAGCAGUAGGGAAUAUUGCUCAAUGGGGGAAACCCUGAAGCAGCAACGCCGCGUGGAGGAUGAAGGUUUUCGGAUUGUAAACUCCUUUUGUUAGAGAAGAUAAUGACGGUAUCUAACGAAUAAGCACCGGCUAACUACGUGCCAGCAGCCGCGGUAAUACGGAGGGUGCAAGCGUUACUCGGAAUCACUGGGCGGAAAGAGCGCGUAGGCGGGAUAGCAAGUCAGAUGUGAAAUCCUAUGGCUUAACCAUAGAACUGCAUUUGAAACUGUUAUUCUAGAGUAUGGGAGAGGUAGGUGGAAUGCUUGGUGUAGGGGUAAAAUCCGUAGAGAUCAAGAGGAAUACUCAUUGCGAAGGCGACCUGCUAGAACAUAACUGACGCUGAUGCGCGAAAGCGUGGGGAGCAAACAGGAUUAGAUACCCGAGUAGUC
RNAcentral lists this ribosomal RNA (440 nucleotides) under uncultured bacterium. Its description in RNAcentral is "partial 16S ribosomal RNA". It matches the Rfam family "Bacterial small subunit ribosomal RNA", at positions 338 to 795 of the family's 1533-position model. The record is from RNAcentral.